GGACAGUGUCUGGUGGGUAGUUUGACUGGGGCGGUCUCCUCCUAAAGAGUAACGGAGGAGCACGAAGGUUGGCUAAUCCUGGUCGGACAUCAGGAGGUUAGUGCAAUGGCAUAAGCCAGCUUGACUGCGAGCGUGACGGCGCGAGCAGGUGCGAAAGCAGGUCAUAGUGAUCCGGUGGUUCUGAAUGGAAGGGCCAUCGCUCAACGGAUAAAAGGUACUCCGGGGAUAACAGGCUGAUACCGCCCAAGAGUUCAUAUCGACGGCGGUGUUUGGCACCUCGAUGUCGGCUCAUCACAUCCUGGGGCUGAAGUAGGUCCCAAGGGUAUGGCUGUUCGCCAUUUAAAGUGGUACGCGAGCUGGGUUUAGAACGUCGUGAGACAGUUCGGUCCCUAUCUGCCGUGGGCGCUGGAGAACUGAGGGGGGCUGCUCCUAGUACGAGAGGACCGGAGUGGACGCAUCACUGGUGUUCGGGUUGUCAUGCCAAUGGCACUGCCCGGUAGCUAAAUGCGGAAGAGAUAAGUGCUGAAAGCAUCUAAGCACGAAACUUGCCCCGAGAUGAGUUCUCCCUGACCCUUUAAGGGUCCUGAAGGAACGUUGAAGACGACGACGUUGAUAGGCCGGGUGUGUAAGCGCAGCGAUGCGUUGAGCUAACCGGUACUAAUGAACCGUGAGGCUUAACCUUACAACGCCGAAGGUGUUU
This 700-nucleotide ribosomal RNA is filed under the name Escherichia coli. RNAcentral describes it as "partial 23S ribosomal RNA". It matches the Rfam family "Bacterial large subunit ribosomal RNA", at positions 2249 to 2925 of the family's 2925-position model. Lineage: Bacteria; Pseudomonadati; Pseudomonadota; Gammaproteobacteria; Enterobacterales; Enterobacteriaceae. The record is from RNAcentral.